AUUAUUGGGCGUAAAGAGCUCGUAGGUGGCUUGUCGCGUCUGCCGUGAAAACCCGAGGCUCAACCUCGGGCGUGCGGUGGGUACGGGCAGGCUAGAGUGUGGUAGGGGAGACUGGAACUCCUGGUGUAGCGGUGAAAUGCGCAGAUAUCAGGAAGAACACCGAUGGCGAGGGCAGGUCUCUGGGCCAUUACUGACACUGAGGAGCGAAAGCAUGGGUAGCGAACAGGAUUAGAUACCCUGGUAGUCCAUGCCGUAAACGUUGGGCACUAGAUGUGGGGGACAUUCCACGUUUUCCGCGUCGUAGCUAACGCAUUAAGUGCCCCGCCUGGGGAGUACGGCCGCAAGGCUAAAACUCAAAGGAAUUGACGGGGGCCCGCACAAGCGGCGGAGCAUGCUGAUUAAUUCGAUGCAACGCGAAGAACCUUACCAAGGCUUGACAUGCACCGGACGACUCCAGAGAUGGGGUUUUCUUCGGACUGGUGCACAGGUGGUGCAUGGUUGUCGUCAGCUCGUGUCGUGAGAUGUUGGGUUAAGUCCCGCAACGAGCGCAACCCUUGUUCUAUGUUGCCAGCACGUGAUGGUGGGGACUCAUAGGAGACUGCCGGGGUCAACUCGGAGGAAGGUGGGGACGACGUCAAAUCAUCAUGCCCCUUAUGUCUUGGGCUUCAAGCAUGCUACAAUGGUCGGUACAAUGGGUUGCGAAACUGUGAGGUGGAGCGAAUCCCAAAAAGCCGGCCUCAGUUCGGAUUGGGGUCUGCAAAUCGACCCCAUGAAGUCGGAGUCGCUAGUAAUCGCAGAUCAGCAACGC
Molecule: ribosomal RNA, 808 nt
Filed under: uncultured bacterium
Lineage: Bacteria
Description: bacterial SSU rRNA
Rfam family: Bacterial small subunit ribosomal RNA
Source: RNAcentral